Molecule: non-coding RNA, 29 nt
Filed under: Mus musculus (house mouse)
Lineage: Eukaryota; Metazoa; Chordata; Mammalia; Rodentia; Muridae
Source: RNAcentral
UNGCCACAUUCGCUUCUGCUCUGUGCCCG